AAACGUAGGAGACGAGCGUUAUCCGGAUUUACUGGGCGUAAAGCGCGUGUAGGAGGCAAUACAAGUUGGAUGUAAAAUCUCCCGGCUUAACUGGGAGGCGUCGUUCAAGACUGUAUAGCUAGAGUAGUGGAGAGGUAAUCGGAACUCCGGGAGUAGCGGUGAAAUGCGUAGAUAUCCGGAAGAACACCAGAGGCGAAAGCGGAUUACAGGCCACCAACGGGAGCUAAGCCGCGAAAGCCAGGGUAGCAAACGGGAUUAUAGACACCGGUAGUCUUGGCCGUAAACGAUGUAGACUCGUCGUUUGGCAUGUAAAAGUGCUGAGUGCCUAAGCAAACGCGAUAAGUCUACCGCCUGGGGAGUACGGUCGCAAGAUUAAAACUCAAAGGAAUUGACGGGG
Molecule: ribosomal RNA, 397 nt
Filed under: uncultured bacterium
Lineage: Bacteria
Description: partial 16S ribosomal RNA
Rfam family: Bacterial small subunit ribosomal RNA
Source: RNAcentral